GUAAACACCUGAAUCACAAUAUUGUCUUAUUCAGAGUAAGGUCAAUAAUUAGAUUACUGCUGUCCAUGUAAACGUAGUCAGUGUUACUAACCAAAUAAUAUCUGAUGGAGGGCUGACCUACAGCGCAUAGUAUCUGAUGGACAACAGGCAGUGAUUGACGUUAUAAACAAGGAAGUGACCGUGGCUGUGGGUAUAAAGUUAGGGGUUUGAUUCCCACUUCCACCCAUGUGUGUGCCACACAUGAUCUUAUGGAGAUGUCAGUGAUACUGACUCUUUCUGCUCUCUGACUUGCCUGAUCCAUCCUGAUGCCCUACCUCUGGAUGGGGUUCUCAUCAACUGGAGGCUACAUUCUGUCACUGAGGAUGACCCCAAUCAGCACAGCCUGGAGAUUGCUGAGGAUGGUGUUGCUUGAAGUAACAUGAAAAUGGUUUUGGACCUCAAUUCCACAUGGACAUUCUUGCUGUGAUUAUGGUUGCUGCUAUGGCCUUAGGACUGCAAUUACCACAUACCAUUUUGCACUCAGGUCUCCUUUAGUGAACAGUGGACUAGUUCAACAAAACAGACUUCAUAUAAAAACCAUAAUGAACUUUCUUUUGCUUUCACACUAUCCACUGUUACCCAGAUGAGGAUGGGUUCCCUUCUGAGUCUUGUUCCUCUCAAGGUUCCUUCCUCAUAUUAUCUUAGGGAGUUUUUCCUUGCCACUGUGGCCACCGGCUUGCUCAUUAGGGAUAGUCACACACUUAAAAUCUGUAUCCUGUGUUUAUAUGUUUCUGUAAAGCUGCUUUGAGACAAUGUCCAUUGUUAAAAGCGCUACACAAAUAAAAUAAAAUGUAAUUUAAUUGAAUGUGUGUGUGGAGUUUGCAUGUUCUCUCCGUGCUUCCUUUGGGUACUCUGGUUUCCUCCCUCAGUCCAAAGACAUGCGCUGAAGGCUGAUUGGUAUUUCCAAAUUGUCCAUAGUGUAUGAAUGGGUGUGUGAGUGUGUGUGCGAUUGUGCCCUGCAAUGGGUCGGCGCCCUGUUCAAGGUGUCCACCUCCUUGUCCUUGUGCCGCGAUUCCCCUGGGAUAGGCUCCAGGCUCCCCGUGACCCUGUGUAGGAUAAGCAGGACAGAAAAUGGAUGGAUGGAUAUAGCCUAUGUACAUUGCACCUCUACUGUCAUUUCACUUUACAACCUUCUUCAGCACGUUGUAAUAAUUUGUCUUAUUUCUACACAGGUACAUUGUAUUUAUUUGAUAUUCUACAUUUUAU
Molecule: long non-coding RNA, 1245 nt
Organism: Ictalurus punctatus (channel catfish)
Lineage: Eukaryota; Metazoa; Chordata; Actinopteri; Siluriformes; Ictaluridae
Source: Ensembl